UGGGGAAUAUUGCACAAUGGGCGCAAGCCUGAUGCAGCCAUGCCGCGUGUAUGAAGAAGGCCUUCGGGUUGUAAAGUACUUUCAGCGGGGAGGAAGGGAGUAAAGUUAAUACCUUUGCUCAUUGACGUACCCGCAGAAGAAGCACCGGCUAACUCCGUGCCAGCAGCCGCGGUAAUACGGAGGGUGCAAGCGUUAAUCGGAAUUACUGGGCGUAAAGCGCACGCAGGCGGUUUGUUAAGUCAGAUGUGAAAUCCUCGGGCUCAACCUGGGAACUGCAUCUGAUACUGGCAAGCUUGAGUCUCGUAGAGGGGGGUAGAAUUCCAGGUGUAGCGGUGAAAUGCGUAGAGAUCUGGAGGAAUACCGGUGGCGAAGGCGGCCCCCUGGACGAAGACUGACGCUCAGGUGCGAAAGCGUGGGGAGCAAACAGG
Molecule: ribosomal RNA, 428 nt
Filed under: Chloroflexota bacterium
Lineage: Bacteria; Bacillati; Chloroflexota
Description: Chloroflexi bacterium partial 16S ribosomal RNA
Rfam family: Bacterial small subunit ribosomal RNA
Source: RNAcentral